GAUGAACGCUGGCGGCGUGCCUAAUACAUGCAAGUCGAGCGAACAGACGAGGAGCUUGCUCCUCUGACGUUAGCGGCGGACGGGUGAGUAACACGUGGAUAACCUACCUGUAAGACUGGGAUAACUUCGGGAAACCGGAGCUAAUACCGGAUAAUAUAUUGAACCGCAUGGUUCAAUAGUGAAAGACGGUUUUGCUGUCACUUAUAGAUGGAUCCGCGCCGCAUUAGCUAGUUGGUAAGGUAACGGCUUACCAAGGCAACGAUGCGUAGCCGACCUGUGAGGGUGAUCGGCCACACUGGAACUGAGACACGGUCCAGACUCCUACGGGAGGCAGCAGUAGGGAAUCUUCCGCAAUGGGCGAAAGCCUGACGGAGCAACGCCGCGUGAGUGAUGAAGGUCUUCGGAUCGUAAAACUCUGUUAUUAGGGAAGAACAAAUGUGUAAGUAACUAUGCACGUCUUGACGGUACCUAAUCAGAAAGCCACGGCUAACUACGUG
Molecule: ribosomal RNA, 497 nt
Filed under: uncultured bacterium
Lineage: Bacteria
Description: partial 16S ribosomal RNA
Rfam family: Bacterial small subunit ribosomal RNA
Source: RNAcentral